Molecule: ribosomal RNA, 193 nt
Filed under: uncultured bacterium
Lineage: Bacteria
Description: partial 16S ribosomal RNA
Rfam family: Bacterial small subunit ribosomal RNA
Source: RNAcentral
CCUACGGGAGGCAGCAGCCAGGAAUCUUGGGCAAUGGGCGCAAGCCUGACCCAGCAACACCGUGUGGGCGAUGAAGGCCUUAGGGUCGUAAAGCCCUGUUGAUAGGGACGAAGGGCGAAGGGUUAAUAGCCCCUAGCCUGACGGUACCUUUCGAGGAAGCCCCGGCUAACUACGUGCCAGCAGCCGCGGUAAU